GGCUGAAGCUACAGAGAAAGACAGACAGGACGUCUGGGCGUCCUUCUAUUCAAGCUCUGUGGGUGUUAGCAUUGCAGUCAAGGAUCGACCUGGGUCCCAAAUGGAAUUAGAGGGAUACCCCAGUUAGUUUUUUGCUGUUGUUGGAAACGGAUGCAGGAUUCUAUAGUUCUUUCUCACCUUUAAACCAAGUGCCCUGAGACUCUGUAUGGGGAUGGCAUUCGCUGCAAAACCUGGAAUAAUUGGGGCCUCUUAAUCCUUAUAUUUUGGUCAGAACUGCCGUGCUAAUUCCUUUGGAUUUCCACUUUACAACGCGCAUCCCCAUGGCAACAGCAGCUCCGGGGCAUCACUGCAUGAAACUCUUCUGGUCACCUCCAAGCCUCAAUGAAGAGUGAACACUUUCUUCUUUCUCAGCCCAUCCUCCUGGGGGAAGAGGUGCCUGAAUUCAGCUGAUGGGGUUGGACAAGGUUUGCAGUGGAGAAAUGAAGCUAAUGGGAUCUUGUGUGGAGCCCGAUGUCUUUGCUGCUUCUACACCUGAAUACAUCACAGGAACUGAUGGAUUAUACGCUUGCACUUUUCCAGUCCCUUAAGGGUUAGAGGGGGUUUUUCCAUUCAGGGACUGCUGUAUGUAGAGAGUGACAGUGGGACAUGCAGAUCACUCCCCAACCCACCUCUCUUUCCCCUCCCAGAUGAUCCAG
This 695-nucleotide long non-coding RNA is filed under the name Equus caballus (horse). Its description in RNAcentral is "lncRNA (ENSECAG00000055985.1)". The record is from RNAcentral. Lineage: Eukaryota; Metazoa; Chordata; Mammalia; Perissodactyla; Equidae.